CACGUAGGGGCAAGCGUUGUCCGGAUUUAUUGGGCGUAAAGAGCUCGUAGGCGGCUUAGUAAGUCGGGUGUGAAACCUCCAGGCUCAACCUGGAGACGCCACCCGAUACUGCUGUGGCUAGAGUCCGGUAGGGGAGCGUGGAAUUCCUGGUGUAGCGGUGAAAUGCGCAGAUAUCAGGAGGAACACCAGCGGCGAAGGCGGCGCUCUGGGCCGGUACUGACGCUGAGGAGCGAAAGCGUGGGGAGCAAACAGG
Molecule: ribosomal RNA, 253 nt
Filed under: uncultured bacterium
Lineage: Bacteria
Description: partial 16S ribosomal RNA
Rfam family: Bacterial small subunit ribosomal RNA
Source: RNAcentral